Molecule: RNA transcript, 818 nt
Organism: Nycticebus coucang (slow loris)
Lineage: Eukaryota; Metazoa; Chordata; Mammalia; Primates; Lorisidae
Gene name: 60S ribosomal protein L7-like
Exons: 2
Source: RefSeq, a predicted model, not a curated record
GGUAUAGAAGAGAAGAAAAAGAAGGUUCCUGCUGUGCCAGAAAUCCUUAAGAAAAAGUGAAAAUAUUUCUCAGAGUUGAAGAUCAAGUGUCUGAGAAUGAAGUAUGCCCCAAAGAUGCUUCCAAAGGCAAGGAGGUAGCUUACCCAUGAAAAAGCUAAGUGUUAUCAUAAGGAGUACGGGCAGAUGUCCAGAACUGAAAUUCGGAUGGCUGGGAUGGCAAGAAAAUCUGGCAACUUCUAUGUACAUGCAGAAUCCAAAUUGGCAUAUGUGAUAAGGAUCAGCGGUAUCAACUACGUGGGUAAAAAGGUCCAAGAGGUGUUGCAGCUUCUUUGCCUGCAACAGAUCUGGAACUAAACUUCUGUUAAGCUCAACAAGGCUUCAGUUAACAUGCUGAAGAUUGUAGAACCACAUAGUGCAUGGGGGUACCCAAAUAUGAAGUCAGUAAAUGAAUUAAUCUACAAGCAUGGUUAUGGCAAAAUCAAUAAGAAACGAAUUGCAUUGACUGAUAACAGUUUUAUUGUGAAAUCUCUUGAUAAAUAUGGCAUCAUCUGUAUGGAUGAUCUGAUUCAUGAGAUCUAUACUGUUGUAAAACACUUCAAAGAAGCAAAUAACUUCUUGUGGCCCUUCAAGUUAUCAUCUCCCUGGGGUGGAAUGAAGAAAAAGACAACCCACUUUGUAGAAGGUAGAGAUGCUGGUAACAGGGAAGACCAAAUCAAUAGACUUAUUAGAAGAAUGAGCUAAGGUAUCUUCCCUGAUUAUUUUUGUAAUCUGGUCAGUUAAUAAACAGUGACUGCAUUCAAAUUGAAAAAAAAAAAAAA